Molecule: ribosomal RNA, 249 nt
Filed under: uncultured bacterium
Lineage: Bacteria
Description: partial 16S ribosomal RNA
Rfam family: Bacterial small subunit ribosomal RNA
Source: RNAcentral
UCCUACGGGGGGCAGCAGUGGGGAAUAUUGGGCAAUGGGCGCAAGCCUGACCCAGCAACGCCGCGUGAAGGAAGAAGGCCCUCGGGUUGUAAACUUCUUUUAUCAAGGACGAAACAAAUGACGGUACUUGAUGAAUAAGCCACGGCUAACUACGUGCCAGCAGCCGCGGUAAUACGUAGGUGGCAAGCGUUAUCCGGAUUUACUGGGUGUAAAGGGCGUGUAGGCGGGAAUGCAAGUCAGAUGUGAAAA